GACGAACGCUGGCGGCGUGCUUAACACAUGCAAGUCACGGGGGUCUCGGGGCAACUCGGGAUAACCGGCGAACGGGUGCGUAACACGUAAGCGACCUGCCGAUUCGCGGGGGGAUAGCCGGCCCAACGGCCGGGUAAUACCGCAUACGCUUGCUGGGUUUCAUGGCCGGGCAAGGAAACCUCCGGGGAACCGGGAGGGGCGGAUCGAGGGGGCUUGCGGCCUAUCAGCUAGUUGGUGAGGUAACGGCUCACCAAGGCGGUGACGGGUAGCUGGUCUGAGAGGAUGGCCAGCCACAUUGGGACUGAGAGACGGCCCAGACUCCUACGGGAGGCAGCAGUGGGGAAUCUUGCGCAAUGGGCGAAAGCCUGACGCAGCGACGCCGCGUGGGGA
RNAcentral lists this ribosomal RNA (390 nucleotides) under uncultured bacterium. RNAcentral's name for it is "bacterial SSU rRNA". It matches the Rfam family "Bacterial small subunit ribosomal RNA", at positions 28 to 407 of the family's 1533-position model. The record is from RNAcentral.